GACGAACGCUGGCGGCGUGCUUAACACAUGCAAGUCGAACGAUGAUGCUGGAGCUUGCUCCAGUUGAUUAGUGGCGAACGGGUGAGUAACACGUGAGCAAUCUGCCCUUGACUCUGGGAUAACUGCGGGAAACUGUAGCUAAUACCGGAUACUUUCACCGGAAGGCAUCUUCUGGUGAUGAAAGAAUUUCGGUCAGGGAUGAGCUCGCGGCCUAUCAGCUUGUUGGUGAGGUAACGGCUCACCAAGGCGACGACGGGUAACCGGCCUGAGAGGGUGCCCGGUCACAAUGGGACUGAGACACGGCCCAGACUCCUACGGGAGGCAGCAGUGGGGAAUAUUGCACAAUGGGCGCAAGCCUGAUGCAGCAACGCCGCGUGAGGGAUGAAGGCCUUCGGGUUGUAAACCUCUUUUAGCAGGGAAGAAGCGAAAGUGACGGUACCUGCAGAAAAAGCACCGGCUAACUACGUGCCAGCCGCCGCGGUAA
This 484-nucleotide ribosomal RNA is filed under the name uncultured bacterium. Its description in RNAcentral is "partial 16S ribosomal RNA". It matches the Rfam family "Bacterial small subunit ribosomal RNA", at positions 28 to 523 of the family's 1533-position model. The record is from RNAcentral.